Molecule: long non-coding RNA, 229 nt
Filed under: Falco tinnunculus (common kestrel)
Lineage: Eukaryota; Metazoa; Chordata; Aves; Falconiformes; Falconidae
Description: lncRNA (ENSFTIG00000004068.1)
Source: RNAcentral
CAAUAUUUCUUUCUUUCAUAAGAAAAAGGUUUUGCCUAUAAUCAAUUCACUGAGCAAGACAUACAGACUUCUGUCCAAUGCUAUGAAAAUUAACCAAGGCACAUUAACUGCAGGAAAUCUUCAAAGGUCUCCUCCUACAGAUGUUCUGAACACGUCUGCAUCCCAGCGAUUUUUUGCUGUGGGCAGGUCUUGAAAACUAGAGCUCAGGCACUUCUGGAUUAGUCUUUUC